GGUUCCAUAGUGUAGCGAGCGGUUAGCACAUCUGCUUUACAUGCAGAAGGUCCUGGGUUUGCGUCCCAGUAGAGCCA
Molecule: non-coding RNA, 77 nt
Organism: Pteropus alecto (black flying fox)
Lineage: Eukaryota; Metazoa; Chordata; Mammalia; Chiroptera; Pteropodidae
Source: Rfam